This 838-nucleotide ribosomal RNA is filed under the name Schizophyllum radiatum. RNAcentral describes it as "eukaryotic LSU rRNA". It matches the Rfam family "Eukaryotic large subunit ribosomal RNA", at positions 1 to 760 of the family's 3401-position model. Lineage: Eukaryota; Fungi; Basidiomycota; Agaricomycetes; Agaricales; Schizophyllaceae. The record is from RNAcentral.
CAAUAGGAGUCUGCUUCUAACCGUCUCUUGACUGAGACUAGCGACUUGUGCGCUAACUUUUGACUUGACCUCAAAUCAGGUAGGACUACCCGGCUGAACUUAAGCAUAUCAAUAAGCGGAGGAAAAGAAACUAACAAGGAUUCCCCUAGUAACUGCGAGUGAAGCGGGAAAAGCUCAAAUUUAAAAUCUGGCGGUCUCCGGCCGUCCGAGUUGUAAUUUAGAGAAGCGUUAUCCGUGCUGGACCGUGUAUAAGUCUCCUGGAAUGGAGCGUCAUAGAGGGUGAGAAUCCCGUCUUUGACACGGACUACCAGUGCAUUGUGAUGCGCUCUCGACGAGUCGAGUUGUUUGGGAAUGCAGCUCAAAAUGGGUGGUAAAUGCCAUCUAAAGCUAAAUAUUGGCGAGAGACCGAUAGCGAACAAGUACCGUGAGGGAAAGAUGAAAAGAACUUUGGAAAGAGAGUUAAACAGUACGUGAAAUUGUCGAAAGGGAAACGGUUGCAGUCAGUCGCGUCCGCCGGGGAUCAACCUUGCUUUUGCUUGGCGUAUUUCCCGGUGGAUGGGUCAGCAUCAGUUUUGACCGCAGUUGAAAGGCUGGAGGAAUGUGGCACCUUCGGGUGUGUUAUAGCCUCCUGUCAUAUGCUGCGGUUGGGACUGAGGAACUCAGCACGCCGAAAGGCCGGGAUUCGUCCACGUUCGUGCUUAGGAUGCUGGCAUAAUGUCUGUAACCGACCCGUCUUGAAACACGGACCAAGGAGUCUAACAUGCACGCGAGUGUUUGGGUGGCAAACCCGAGCGCGUAAUGAAAGUGAAAGUUGAGACCUCUGUCGUGGAGGGCAUCG